CUGAUUUUAAGGUUUCCAAUUCCGAGAUGCUAAAAACAUCAAGUACUUUCUGCGAUACAGGUCCAAAAUCCUCAUUCAGAUGUAAGUAUACAGCUGCAGUCUAGGGCCAAAGGUAAAUACUUUUAGAUUACCCUCUCAAACAGAGUUGACCAAGCUUUUCAAACUUUCAUGCAAUUGAUCAUACUAUUAAAAUUAAGUAUCCCUCCUCUAAAUACUCUGAAUCCCAGAUUUUGUUUCUGGAAUUAAAUCACCCAAAAGACACCCACAUGGAUUUGAAAAUGCCUGUAACAGCCACCAAGGGCUCAUGCUGAAAAACCGGGGUUUCAUUUUUCUUAUUCAAGAGGGAGAACCAAAACAGUUUCUUUUGGCAGAUUUUGCUUUAGCUCAUCAACUGGAGAACCUGAUGUUUUGCCAAAGAAAUAUGCAAAUGGAUGCUUGAUUAAAUAAGAUGAAAACUUUGUUGCUGAGAUAUGGCUUUUCUUCCCAUUUCUAACUCCAUUCAUUUCAUGCUCGCUGAAGCAAGCCUAACUAAGCCCUCCAUGACUUUCGGUGGGACAGUAACCCUCCGCGUCUACAUAAACCCUGCUCGUGCUGUGGGUUCCCUAUGCGUCCAAGACAGGUGGACCUUCCAUCAUCCUCUGCAGGUCACCUUGGAAGUCAGGCGGAAGCACUAUCCUGCCAGUUUCGCUGGCUUAGUGACCACUUCCAAUUCCUUCUGGCAACCCACAGAUUUAGAUGGCAUGGUUGCACACUGUUCACCUACUUGCUAUUCGAAGAGGAUUUGUCGUCACGUGGCCAAUGCUGAAGAGAUGGUCUGUGUAGUUGCCCUGGUCCCUCGAGUCUCAAAAAUACAUCCAACAACAGAUGCAAAGCCCUAAUAAUAAAAAAUAAUGAAACAGGUGACUGUCA
This 909-nucleotide long non-coding RNA is filed under the name Felis catus (domestic cat). RNAcentral's name for it is "lncRNA (ENSFCAG00000051481.1)". The record is from RNAcentral. Lineage: Eukaryota; Metazoa; Chordata; Mammalia; Carnivora; Felidae.